Molecule: ribosomal RNA, 465 nt
Filed under: uncultured bacterium
Lineage: Bacteria
Description: bacterial SSU rRNA
Rfam family: Bacterial small subunit ribosomal RNA
Source: RNAcentral
CCUACGGGGGGCAGCAGUAGGGAAUCUUCGGCAAUGGACGGAAGUCUGACCGAGCAACGCCGCGUGAGUGAAGAAGGUUUUCGGAUCGUAAAGCUCUGUUGUAAGAGAAGAACGAGUGUGAGAGUGGAAAGUUCACACUGUGACGGUAUCUUACCAGAAAGGGACGGCUAACUACGUGCCAGCAGCCGCGGUAAUACGUAGGUCCCGAGCGUUGUCCGGAUUUAUUGGGCGUAAAGCGAGCGCAGGCGGUUAGAUAAGUCUGAAGUUAAAGGCUGUGGCUUAACCAUAGUACGCUUUGGAAACUGUUUAACUUGAGUGCAAGAGGGGAGAGUGGAAUUCCAUGUGUAGCGGUGAAAUGCGUAGAUAUAUGGAGGAACACCGGUGGCGAAAGCGGCUCUCUGGCUUGUAACUGACGCUGAGGCUCGAAAGCGUGGGGAGCAAACAGGAUUAGAUACCCGUGUAGUC